UGCUACGAUGCGAAAAAUAGGUUUCUCGUUCUCGAAGUAACAUAUGGUACGUGGCUGAAAGAGCGUGCAAAUGCUCACGCAUGGUCUCAUUGUCAUGGUCGUCUUCGAAAUGACCUACUCAUUUGAAUCCUUCAGGUGCGCACAAAAUGAGGUGGAAGUGGAUGGCAGGAGAGGGAACUUGAAAGAGCGAUGGUGCAACAGUGACGGUAUGAAUGCCCAAUAUUACCAUCAAUCUGGAUGCGUGAGAAAGUCAUGUACGUGCGUCUGCAAGGAAGGUUUCUUCAGGAAAAGACCUCCGUGCGGCGACUGCGUCCGCCAUGACCAGUGCUAGAAAUAACAUCGAAAUUCGAGUCAAAGAAGCGGGCAACCAGUACAUGACACAAUAAAAAUACGAAGACACCUAA
This 404-nucleotide long non-coding RNA is filed under the name Dermacentor andersoni. RNAcentral describes it as "uncharacterized LOC126529475". Lineage: Eukaryota; Metazoa; Arthropoda; Arachnida; Ixodida; Ixodidae. The record is from RNAcentral.